Zonotrichia albicollis (white-throated sparrow) is the source of this 459-nucleotide non-coding RNA. Lineage: Eukaryota; Metazoa; Chordata; Aves; Passeriformes; Passerellidae. The record is from RefSeq and is a predicted model, not a curated record.
CCCGGCCGGGGGCGGGCGAUCCCCGCGGCGCAGGAGGGAGGCGGUGGGCUCCGGCCAUCGCCAUCGCCAGCCCCCGAGGGGCCGCCUGGGGGAAGGGGAGCGGGGCCGCGACCUCCGUUUUUCCCGCCCUGCCUGCCGGGAGCCGGUGUGGGGCCGGGAGGGCAGCCCGGCCCCGGCCUCUUCUCCCUCAGCGCGCUUGGUCCCUGCGCCCGCAGCUGUCCGUUCAGCGGAAUUUCUCGUUUUCGACGCCGGGAGGCUGUGAAAUGAGACCUGUGGCUUUCCUGGAUGUGUGGAAGCAUGAGGGGAAGCUGUGCAGGAGCUUUGAGGAGAAAAGAUGUUCGUCGGCAGAUUUCACCCUUCCUGAGACGACCACACGUGGGCAUUACAGUUCACUAGGAGCAGAAACUGCAUCUCCAUUUCUUACAUGCUUUUGGUACCCUCAAUAAAUAUCGCUAUGUC